UAAAAAAGAACUUUAUUUAUUGAGGGCAAGGGGAUGCAAACAAUACAAAAAUCAAAAGCUUAUCUGGUAUUUAACUUUUCUUUCUCUGCUUGUCAAAUGAGAGUUAGAUUUUAUUUUUACAUUUGCUAAGUGUCCUGAUCUGCUCAUGAAAUCCUUCUAUGGGGGAAGCUGUGGGGCAGAUUCCUUAAGCGACCCUUUGGGACAACUCUUAUCAGGGAGGAGCGAACUGCUCAUUUCUGCCUACUUCUUUCCCUUCUGCUUCAUGUGUACUACAAAAUAGUCAUUGCAUGCAAUGGUGAGGCCCGCAAUUAGGGAAAAGAAGCUCUGGAAGCCCACUUUGCCAUCUCUACACUGGUCCAGGUCCUUCAUUAUUUUGUCCACAGCCAGAGGGUCUUUUUGAUUUUCCAAAAAUCCAGGGAACUCCUUUUCCAUGAG
This 435-nucleotide long non-coding RNA is filed under the name Homo sapiens (human). Its description in RNAcentral is "LNC_000167". The record is from RNAcentral. Lineage: Eukaryota; Metazoa; Chordata; Mammalia; Primates; Hominidae.